This 832-nucleotide long non-coding RNA is filed under the name Gallus gallus (chicken). Its description in RNAcentral is "lncRNA (ENSGALG00010002845.1)". Lineage: Eukaryota; Metazoa; Chordata; Aves; Galliformes; Phasianidae. The record is from RNAcentral.
GAGACAAUUUCACUUCGCUCUGUCUGACAGUGACACUGAUGGGGAGGUGAAAUGAGUUCCCACUACUGAAUCCUUCUCAGGAAAUGGCACUAUUCAUUUUAAAGGACAGCACAUUGUGUUCUCUGGAACAGGGACUGUCUGGAUCAGGAAUGCUGUGUCUCCUGCUGGGAGGAGACUGAAAUAUGCCUAUGGAGGAGGAGACAUUGGCACAUUCUGUUCAGCUCUUGCCCAAGAAGAGAAAUGGAUCACCUCAGAAACCUGAGGGCUUGGAGGUUGUUGUUGUUUUUGAAGGUAAUAGAAGAAAUGGAAGAAGUUUACUGAACACAGAGAUAGAUGAAUGCAUUAUAACAGGGCUUAAAGCCUAUGCUGACAGUGCUAGAAACCAGAUGCUAUGGGUCCAUGCGUGGAGCGGCCAUCACAGAGCAGCAAAUGUUGAAUUGCGCAUAUUGGUUCAUCUGUGGUGAUUUGUUUGCUUGCACUGCCUGUAAGAAUAUGAAACCGUUCAUCUGGUUUUCACAACAGAGUUUUACAUCUGCGUGUCUCAUCAGGAAGACACUAAUUUAGUAUGAAAAGAUGCUAUUCAGCUCCUGCUCACAUCCUAUGGGAAAAUCUGCACCUAACAAAGGAGACAUUUUGAUAGCUUGGCUUUGCUUGCUUUCUUUUUGGCCUGUAGUAUUUUGUGCUUGAAUAUGUGUAAGUAUAAUUGCAUAUUUGCUACUCGCAAGGAUUCCAGAUUAUAUUGCUAUUUUAUAUGUUCCUUCUCCUUGCUUUUCCUCUUAGAAAACCACCUUGCGUUGUGUCAGUAACUACCUGUUGUUGGUUCCAGGGCAUG